RNAcentral lists this ribosomal RNA (253 nucleotides) under uncultured bacterium. RNAcentral describes it as "partial 16S ribosomal RNA". It matches the Rfam family "Bacterial small subunit ribosomal RNA", at positions 524 to 776 of the family's 1533-position model. The record is from RNAcentral.
UACGUAGGGUGCAAGCGUUGUCCGGAAUUAUUGGGCGUAAAGAGCUCGUAGGCGGUUUGUCGCGUCUGCUGUGAAAACUCGGGGCUUAACUCCGGGCCUGCAGUGGGUACGGGCAGACUAGAGUGCGGUAGGGGAGACUGGAAUUCCUGGUGUAGCGGUGAAAUGCGCAGAUAUCAGGAGGAACACCGGUGGCGAAGGCGGCUUCCUGGGGCACCACUGACGCUGAGAAGCGAAAGCUAGGGGAGCAAACGGG